GAAUCUGCCUUUUGGUCGGGGACAACCACUGGAAACGGUGGCUAAUACCGGAUGUGCCUUUAGGGGUGAAAGAUUAAUUGCCAGAAGAGGAGCUCGCGUCUGAUUAGCUAGUUGGUGAGGUAAAAGCUCACCAAGGCGACGAUCAGUAGCUGGUCUGAGAGGAUGACCAGCCACACUGGGACUGAGACACGGCCCAGACUCCUACGGGAGGCAGCAGUGGGGAAUUUUCCGCAAUGGGCGAAAGCCUGACGGAGCAAGACCGCGUGAGGGAGGAAGGCUCUUGGGUCGUAAACCUCUUUUGUCAGGGAAGAACACAAUGACGGUACCUGACGAAUCAGCCUCGGCUAACUCCGUGCCAGCAGCCGCGGUAAUACGGAGGAGGCAAGCGUUAUCCGGAAUUAUUGGGCGUAAAGCGUCCGUAGAUGGUCGCUUCAAGUCUGCUGUCAAAGACCGGGGCUUAACCCCAGAAAGGCAGUGGAAACUGAACAGCUAGAGAGAGGUAGGGGUAGAGGGAAUUCCCAGUGUAGCGGUGAAAUGCGUAGAGAUCAGGAAGAACACCGGUGGCGAAAGCGCUCUGCUGGACCUUAACUGACACUGAGGGACGAAAGCUAGGGGAGCG
Molecule: ribosomal RNA, 619 nt
Filed under: uncultured cyanobacterium
Lineage: Bacteria; Bacillati; Cyanobacteriota
Description: bacterial SSU rRNA
Rfam family: Bacterial small subunit ribosomal RNA
Source: RNAcentral